ACGCGACCCCAGGUCAGGUGGGAUCACCCG
RNAcentral lists this ribosomal RNA (30 nucleotides) under Muraltia stipulacea. RNAcentral's name for it is "partial 26S ribosomal RNA". The record is from RNAcentral. Lineage: Eukaryota; Viridiplantae; Streptophyta; Magnoliopsida; Fabales; Polygalaceae.